GCGUGCAUUGCUAUUUUCAACCCCUUGAGAGACGGACUUGAACCCGAGUCUAGGGCUAUACAAAUACGCACAUUAAUGUACUAAAAUGCGGUAGGCCCUACAAAUAAAGUUAUAUUUUAUAGUACGCUACAUUCUAUUUCUUCAAGACUGUCAGCCGCCAGUUGGUCCUUACGCUAGGAUUAAACUGCGCUUUAAAAAAGAUGUGGCACAGUCUGAUCUGCGCAUGUGC
Paramuricea clavata is the source of this 229-nucleotide non-coding RNA. Lineage: Eukaryota; Metazoa; Cnidaria; Anthozoa; Malacalcyonacea; Plexauridae. The record is from the annotation of a GenBank genome assembly.